This 89-nucleotide non-coding RNA is filed under the name Chloropicon mariensis. The record is from RNAcentral. Lineage: Eukaryota; Viridiplantae; Chlorophyta; Chloropicophyceae; Chloropicales; Chloropicaceae.
CGGUGCUUGCAAGUGGAAUAGAAGCUUCGCAACAAACAGUCAUGACCAUUUCAACAUCCACCGCGACUCUCCAGAGAACAACGACAGCA